This is a long non-coding RNA of Oncorhynchus keta (chum salmon), 1275 nucleotides long. RefSeq lists it as uncharacterized. The record is from RefSeq and is a predicted model, not a curated record. NCBI's taxonomy places the organism in Eukaryota, Metazoa, Chordata, Actinopteri, Salmoniformes, Salmonidae. The transcript is spliced from 3 exons.
CAUAUGUUGAUUCUUAUCAAGUUGGUGGGCAGGCAAUCUUUUCUACUCCAUAUAUUGCAUUUAUAUCUGUAAUGAUUAACCCUAAUGGUCUCAGAUCAGCAGUAGAAAGAAGUAGGCCUAAUUAUUUUAGGUGUAAUCUUCAAAGAUAUUAGGGGGAAAUAAACACUGUACCCAAAUCCACGUUUUACAAUGCUCCUGGGAAAUGGGUAGGCCUCCACCUAUAGUCCUUCACAGUUUUACAGGUGUGAUAUAUUUAUUUAUUUACAUAGAUCACAUACAUAAAUAAAUAUGUUAGCUGUAGGUAGCGUUGAGAUCAAAUUCCCAUAUUCUAUUGCUACUAAACAUAUAUCAUGUUUUCCUCAUUUGCUCUGUAGGAGGUUCGUCAUAUGAAGGACAUUCAAGUGGAUGUGACCCCGAACCUGCAAUAGGGGCUCAGUGAGGUGACAGACAUCCUGUAAUGGAUCUCAGCUAGUGUCUGAGGACCUGGAGAAGGCUGUGUCUACAGCUGUGGGGCAGGACAAGUAUGGUAACCUAACCUCACUGUAUGAAGGAUUUUAUUGUUAUGGAUAGUCAUCUCUAAUCUGUUCAAAUAUCACUGUUGUUGAUAACACACAUUACCAAAAUGAUUCACACUUGUCUUCCUAUUUCCACAUAAUCUGUCAUGGUUCCCCACCCCAACAGGGCAUAAAACCAACCUCUCUUUAUUGCUACUGCUAAUACACCCAAAUCCAACAGCGUUUGAGUAUCUUUUUGCUUUUCUUCUAACCCUGAAUGGCAACAUUUUAUCCUAGUACACAAGCAUGUCACUUUAUCCAUCCACACCCACUCUACUGCCGCAUGGCCACUGCGGCUGAGACUUUCACCCUCUCGUUACAGGUAUAGCAGGUAACCAACCCCACCCGGGUCUUACCCCCUAGGACUUACCCUUUGCUACCGGCUACCACCGGUCGUAAUACAAUGGGACUACUGAAUAAGCUCAGGCUUUCUAGUCUGAACAGGCCGUUCUUCUCUUUCCUCAACUAAUUGAAACGUCAGGGACAGACAUCCUGAACGACUCUGAUGUCAGACCUCCCAUCAGCCCUCUACACCUCGCUGCGUACCACAGUCACCACCAUGCUAUGGAGGUCCUGGUUCAGUCUCUGCUGGAUCUAGACGUGAGGGACCCCUCUGGACCUGGCUGCCUUAAAAAGCCAUGUGGAGUGUGUUGACGUCCUGAUCAACCAGGAAGCCUCCAUCCUGGUUAAAGACUUCACUCUGAAGAGGACCCCCCAUCCA